Stegodyphus mimosarum is the source of this 73-nucleotide non-coding RNA. Lineage: Eukaryota; Metazoa; Arthropoda; Arachnida; Araneae; Eresidae. The record is from Rfam.
GCCUUCGUGGUGUAAUGGUCAGCACACUCGGUGCGUAUUUAAGAGGUCCAGGGUUCGAGUCCCGGCGAGGGCA